RNAcentral lists this ribosomal RNA (403 nucleotides) under uncultured prokaryote. Its description in RNAcentral is "bacterial SSU rRNA". It matches the Rfam family "Bacterial small subunit ribosomal RNA", at positions 355 to 774 of the family's 1533-position model. The record is from RNAcentral.
UGAGGAAUUUUGCGCAAUGGGGGAAACCCUGACGCAGCAACGCCGCGUGGGUGAUGAAGGCCUUCGGGUUGUAAAGCGCUUUUUGAGAGGAUGAGGAAGGACAGUACUCUUAGAAUAAGCCUCGGCUAACUACGUGCCAGCAGCCGCGGUAAAACGUAGGAGGCGAGCGUUAUCCGGAUUUACUGGGCGUAAAGCGUGUGUAGGCGGUUUGAUAAGUUUGAUGUGAAAGCUCCUGGCUUAACUGGGAGAGGUCGUUCAAAACUAUCAGACUUGAGAGUGGUAGAGGGAGGUGGAAUUCCGCAUGUAGUGGUGAAAUGCGUAGAUAUGCGGAGGAACACCAGUGGCGAAAGCGGCCUCCUGGACCAUUCCUGACACUCAGACGCGAAAGCUAGGGUAGCAAACG